CUUUCCGUAGCGUAAUUGGAUAACGCAAUCGCCUCCUAAGCGAUAGACUGUGGGUUCAAUUCCCGCCGGAAAGGCCA
RNAcentral lists this transfer RNA (77 nucleotides) under Clostridia bacterium. RNAcentral's name for it is "tRNA-Arg". It matches the Rfam family "tRNA". From Rfam's summary of the family: Transfer RNA (tRNA) molecules are approximately 80 nucleotides in length. Their secondary structure includes four short double-helical elements and three loops (D, anti-codon, and T loops). Further hydrogen bonds mediate the characteristic L-shaped molecular structure. tRNAs have two regions of fundamental functional importance: the anti-codon, which is responsible for specific mRNA codon recognition, and the 3' end, to which the tRNAs corresponding amino acid is attached (by aminoacyl-tRNA synthetases). tRNAs cope with the degeneracy of the genetic code in two manners: having more than one tRNA (with a specific anti-codon) for a particular amino acid; and 'wobble' base-pairing, i.e. permitting non-standard base-pairing at the 3rd anti-codon position. The record is from RNAcentral. Lineage: Bacteria; Bacillati; Bacillota; Clostridia.